RNAcentral lists this ribosomal RNA (492 nucleotides) under uncultured Glomus. Its description in RNAcentral is "SSU rRNA". It matches the Rfam family "Eukaryotic small subunit ribosomal RNA", at positions 601 to 1094 of the family's 1831-position model. Lineage: Eukaryota; Fungi; Glomeromycota; Glomeromycetes; Glomerales; Glomeraceae. The record is from RNAcentral.
AUAUUAAAGUUGUUGCAGUUAAAAAGCUCGUAGUUGAAUUUCGGGGUCAGUAGGUCGGUCGUGCCACUGGUAUGAACUGGUUUUACUGAUUCCUCCCUCUUGAAGAACUGUAAUGCCAUUAAUUUGGUGUUGCAGGGAAUCAGGACUGUUACUUUGAAAAAAUUAGAGUGUUUAAAGCAGGCUUUAGCUUGAAUACAUUAGCAUGGAAUAAUGAAAUAGGACGUUUGAUCCUAUUUUGUUGGUUUCUAGGAUUGACGUAAUGAUUAAUAGGGAUAGUUGGGGGCAUUAGUAUUCAAUUGUCAGAGGUGAAAUUCUUGGAUUUAUUGAAGACUAACUACUGCGAAAGCAUUUGCCAAGGAUGUUUUCAUUAAUCAAGAACGAAAGUUAGGGGAUCGAAGACGAUCAGAUACCGUCGUAGUCUUAACCAUACACUAUGCCGACUAGGGAUCGGAUGAUGUUAAUUUUUUAAUGACUCAUUCGGCGCCUUACGGG